CCCUUAGAUGUUCUGGGCCGCACGCGCGCUACACUGACGAAUGCAACGAGCUUAUAACCUUGGCCGAAAGGUCUGGGUAAUCUCCAAAUUUCGUCGUGAUGGGGAUAGAUUAUUGCAAUUAUUAAUCUUCAACGAGGAAUGCCUAGUAAGCGCAAGUCAUCAGCUUGCGUUGAUUACGUCCCUGCCCUUUGUACACACCGCCCGUCGCUCCUACCGAUUGAGUGCUCAGGUGAAUAAUUCGGACUGCAGCAGUGUUUGGAUCCCGAACGCUGCAGCGGAAAGUUUAGUGAACCUUAUCACUUAGAGGAAGGAGAAGUCGUAACA
RNAcentral lists this ribosomal RNA (324 nucleotides) under uncultured eukaryote. RNAcentral's name for it is "partial 18S ribosomal RNA". It matches the Rfam family "Eukaryotic small subunit ribosomal RNA", at positions 1470 to 1796 of the family's 1831-position model. The record is from RNAcentral.